GAAAUGCGAUACUUGGUGUGAAUUGCAGAAUUCAGUGAAUCAUCGAAUCUUUGAACGCACAUUGCGCCCUCCGGCUCCAUCCGGGGGGCAUGCCUGUUCGAGCGUCAUCAAAACCUCUCCCCCCCUCUCCGCUUAGCGCGCUGUAGGGUUGGGGGUCCUGGCAGAUCGGCUCUGUCGGGGGAGGAGGAUGAGAGAGGGGUGUUCCCUAGCGGGUUUCCCCUCCCUCCCCUUCCCCCCCAAAGUGCCCUGCUCAAAUGUUCCGGUCUGCAGGUUACGGGCUGUUCGAUUGCCCCACCACGACGUAGUGAUAACACCAUUCUCGUCGCGGCUGGCUUUCGUGAUGGCCGAGAAAACCGAGACCCUAAAACCUUUUUAUUUCUUCAAGAGAUUGACCUCGGAU
This 400-nucleotide unclassified non-coding RNA is filed under the name uncultured fungus. Its description in RNAcentral is "sequence contains ITS1". The stretch from base 1 to 107 matches the Rfam family "5.8S ribosomal RNA", at positions 50 to 154 of the family's 154-position model. The record is from RNAcentral. Lineage: Eukaryota; Fungi.